RNAcentral lists this ribosomal RNA (497 nucleotides) under uncultured bacterium. RNAcentral's name for it is "partial 16S ribosomal RNA". It matches the Rfam family "Bacterial small subunit ribosomal RNA", at positions 28 to 507 of the family's 1533-position model. The record is from RNAcentral.
GAUGAACGCUGGCGGCGUGCCUAAUACAUGCAAGUCGAGCGAACGGACGAGAAGCUUGCUUCUCUGAUGUUAGCGGCGGACGGGUGAGUAACACGUGGAUAACCUACCUAUAAGACUGGGAUAACUUCGGGAAACCGUAGCUAAUACCGGAUAAUAUUUUGAACCGCAUGGUUCAAAAGUGAAAGACGGUCUUGCUGUCACUUAUAGAUGGAUCCGCGCUGCAUUAGCUAGUUGGUAAGGUAACGGCUUACCAAGGCAACGAUGCAUAGCCGACCUGAGAGGGUGAUCGGACACACUGGAACUGAGACACGGUCCAGACUCCUACGGGAGGCAGCAGUAGGGAAUCUUCCGCAAUGGGCGAAAGCCUGACGGAGCAACGCCGCGUGAGUGAUGAAGGUCUUCGGAUCGUAAAACUCUGUUAAUAGGGAAGAACAUAUGUGUAAGUAAUUGUGCACAUCUUGACGGUACCUAAUCAGAAAGCCACGGCUAACUACGUG